RNAcentral lists this ribosomal RNA (445 nucleotides) under uncultured bacterium. Its description in RNAcentral is "SSU rRNA". It matches the Rfam family "Bacterial small subunit ribosomal RNA", at positions 26 to 518 of the family's 1533-position model. The record is from RNAcentral.
AGAACGAACGCUGGCGGCAGGCUUAACACAUGCAAGUCGAGCGCCCAGCAAUGGGAGCGGCGGACGGGUGAGUAACACGUGGGAACAUGCCUUUCGGUACGGAACAACUUCGGGAAACUGAAGCUAAUGCCGUAUACGCCCUUACGGGGAAAGAUUUAUCGCCGAAAGAUUGGCCCGCGUCUGAUUAGCUAGUUGGUGAGGUAACGGCUCACCAAGGCUUCGAUCAGUAGCUGGUUUGAGAGAACGACCAGCCACACUGGGACUGAGACACGGCCCAGACUCCUACGGGAGGCAGCAGUGGGGGAAUCUUGGACAAUGGAGGAAACUCUGAUCCAGCCAUGCCGCGUGAGUGAUGAAGGCCUUCGGGUUGUAAAACUCCUUUACCCGGGAAGAUAAUGACUGUACCGGGAGAAUAAGCUCCGGCUAACUUCGCGCCAGCAGCCGC